This 2463-nucleotide ribosomal RNA is filed under the name Triticum aestivum (bread wheat). Its description in RNAcentral is "partial small subunit ribosomal RNA". The record is from RNAcentral. Lineage: Eukaryota; Viridiplantae; Streptophyta; Magnoliopsida; Poales; Poaceae.
GCGUCCGACGACCGGCUUGUCCCCGGGAAGCCGCUCUCCCCUGGCUCCACCAUCGUCUCCGACGGCGGUGCCUUCGCCUUGGGCUUCUUCGCCCCCUCCAACUCCACUCCCACCAAGCUGUACCUGGGCAUCUGGUACAAUGACAUCCCUGAGCUCACCGUCGUGUGGGUCGCCAACCGAGAAACCCCGGCCACCAACACCACUUCGUCUGCAUCACCGACACUCUCCUUCACCAACACCUCCAAUCUCGUUCUCUCCAGACGAGAUGGUGGUGAACGUGUUCUUUGGGCAACAACCAACGUGGGUGCUGCACCAGCGUCAUCUCCCCCGACGACGGCAGUGCUUCUGAACACCGGCAAUCUCGUCAUCCGCUCGCCAAACGGCACCAUGCUGUGGCAAAGCUUUGAACACCCGGCCGACACGUUCCUCCCCGGCAUGAAGAUCCGGCCGGUACAGGUACGGGCGCGUAUGGACAACGAGCGCAUGGUGGCCUGGAAGGGCUCUAGCGACCCCUCACCAGGGUGCUUCUCCUUUGGGGUCGAUUGGAACACGCUCCUCCAGACGUUCCUCUCGGACGGGUCACGCCCGGUGUUACGUAGCGCCACAUGGAUGGGAGACCUAGUGAUGAGCCAACGCAUGAACAACAACUCCAUUAUCGUCUACACCGCCUUCGUUGACAACGAGGAAGAGAUAUAUAUGACGUACACCCUCUCCGAAGGUGCCGCCCACACAAGGUACGUGGUGACGUACUCAGGCGAGUACCAGCUCCAAAGCUGGAGUAGCUGGACAUCGACAUGGGAUGUCCUCUGGAAGUGGCCGUCCGCCGAAUGCACCCGCUACGGUUACUGCGGCCCAUACGGCUACUGCGACGAGACGGUGUUGCCAGCCCCAUCAUGUAAAUGCCUUGACGGUUUUGAGCCAGCAAACAUUGAGGAGUGGGCAAAUGGUAGGUUCUCGACCGGCUGCCGACGGAAGGAGCCGUUGCACGGUUGCGGCGAUGGUUUCUUGGCCUUGCCAGGGACGAAGUCACCAGACAGGUUCACUCGCGUAGGCGGUGGCGGGAGUACAUUCGAGGAGUGUGCCGAGUGCAACCGCAACUGCUCAUGCGUUGGGUACGCAUAUGCGAAAUUGAGCAGCGGCAGGUCCGGCGGAGAUGUGGCAAGGUGCUUGGUGUGGGCUGGGGAGUUGGUUGACACCAGAAAGUCUAGCGCAGAGCUCGGCGGAGAAACACUCUAUAUUCGGCUUGCAGGCAUGGAUGCAUCUACUGGUACAAAACUCGAGAGCAAUGCAGUGAGGAUUGUGCUACCAGUUUUUGGCAGCAGUGUUCUCGUGCUCAUAUGCAUCUCCCUGGCAUGGUUCAAAUUCAAAGGCAAGAAAUUUAAAAGGAGAAAGAACAAGAAUAUUAGGGUGGAUAAUGCGAGUACCUCUAAUGAGCUUGGGGAAGAAAAUCAGUCCCAUGAUCACGAAUUCCCGUUUGUAAGAUUUGAAGAAGUUGCCCUCGCAACUCACAAUUUCUCUGAAACAUACAUGAUUGGACAGGGAGGUUUCGGCAAAGUUUACAAGGGGAUGUUAGGUGGUCAAGAAGUCGCAGUCAAGAGGCUAAGCAAAGAUUCUCAAGAAGGAACAAAGGAAUUCAGGAACGAAGUAAUUCUAAUUGCCAAAUUGCAACACAAAAACUUGGUUCGACUUCUGGGAUGUUGUGGUGAGGGAGAUGAAAAACUCCUGAUAUAUGAGUAUCUACCUAAUAAGAGCUUAGAUGCCACCCUUUUUGAUGACUCGAGAAAAUUGUUGUUGAAUUGGGGAACACGGUUUAGCAUAAUCAAAGGGGUCGCAAGGGGACUUCUUUAUCUUCAUGAAGACUCAAGGUUGACCAUAAUUCACAGGGAUCUUAAAGCUGCAAAUGUUUUGCUAGAUGUAGAUAUGAAACCCAAGAUAGCUGAUUUUGGUAUGGCAAGAAUCUUUGGUGAUAACCAACAAAACGCAAAUACCCAACGCGUUCUCGGAACAUAUGGCUACAUGGCCCCUGAGUAUGCGAUGGAGGGCAUCUUCUCUACCAAGUCCGACGUCUACAGCUUCGGCGUGUUACUACUAGAGGUCGUCACUGGUAUUAGGAGAAACUCUAACAGUCAGACAUCAAGUUUUCCUAACCUUGCAGUUUAUUCAUGGAAUAUGUGGAAGGAAGGGAAGACGGAGGAAUUGGCAGACUCAUCUCUCAUGGAUACAUAUUCACCAGACAAAGUUUUGCUCUGCAUCCAUGUGGCACUCCUGUGUGUGCAAGAAAAUCCAGAUGAUAGGCCCCUGAUGUCAACUGUUGUGUUCGUCUUGGAGAAUGGAAGCACCACGCUUCCAGCCCCCAACCGCCCCGCCUACUUUGCCCGGCGGGGCAUAGAAAUGGAGCAAAUUAUGGUUGACAUUCAGAGCUCUGUGAACGAUUGUACUCUUUCGGAGAUACAAGGGAGGUGA